AGCGAAUAGAUACCCUGGUAGUCCUAGCCGUAAACGAUGGACACUAGUUGCCGGAAGAGUCAAAUCCUUCGGUGACGAAAGCUAAACGCAUUAAGUGUCCCGCCUGGGAAGUACGCCCGCAAGGGUGAAACUCAAAGGAAUUGACGGGGGCCCGGCACAAGCGGUGGAGCAUGUGCUUUAGUUUCGAUGCAACGCGAAGAACCUUACCUAGAUUUGACAUGGGGUGGAAAUUUACGUAGAAAUAUGGAACCUUCCGCAAGGAACACCCUACACAGGUGCUGCAUGGUUGUCGUCAGCUCGUGUCGUGAGAUGUUAGGUUAAGUCCUGCAACGAGCGCAACCCUCGCCCUUAGUUGCCAUCAGGUAAUGCUGGGAACUCUAAGGGGUACCGCCUGGUUUAACCAGGAGGAAGGUGGGGAUGACGUCAAAUCCUCAUGGCCCUUACGUCUAGGGCUAGACACGUGCUACAAUGGUAGAUACAGCGGGAUGCAAGCUGGUGACAGCAAGCCAAUCCCGUUAAAACUCUAUCUCAGUCCGG
This 537-nucleotide ribosomal RNA is filed under the name uncultured bacterium. RNAcentral's name for it is "bacterial SSU rRNA". It matches the Rfam family "Bacterial small subunit ribosomal RNA", at positions 774 to 1296 of the family's 1533-position model. The record is from RNAcentral.